GUACACUCCUGCGGGAGGCAGCAGUGGGGAAUUUUGGACAAUGGGCGAAAGCCUGAUCCAGCAAUGCCGCGUGAGUGAAGAAGGCCUUCGGGUUGUAAAGCUCUUUUGUCAGGGAAGAAACGGUGAAAGCUAAUAUCUUUUGCUAAUGACGGUACCUGAAGAAUAAGCACCGGCUAACUACGUGCCAGCAGCCGCGGUAAUACGUAGGGUGCAAGCGUUAAUCGGAAUUACUGGGCGUAAAGCGUGCGCAGGCGGUUUUGUAAGUCUGAUGUGAAAUCCCCGGGCUCAACCUGGGAAUUGCAUUGGAGACUGCAAGGCUAGAAUCUGGCAGAGGGGGGUAGAAUUCCACGUGUAGCAGUGAAAUGCGUAGAUAUGUGGAGGAACACCGAUGGCGAAGGCAGCCCCCUGGGUCAAGAUUGACGCUCAUGCACGAAAGCGUGGGGAGCAAACAGGAUUAGAAACCCUGGUAGUCCCAUGAU
RNAcentral lists this ribosomal RNA (479 nucleotides) under uncultured organism. RNAcentral's name for it is "partial 16S ribosomal RNA". It matches the Rfam family "Bacterial small subunit ribosomal RNA", at positions 331 to 801 of the family's 1533-position model. The record is from RNAcentral.